GGGGAACCAGGAGACAGGUUGCUGCAUGGCUGUCGUCAGCUCGCGUCGUGAGAUGUUGGGUUAAGUCCCGCAACGAGCGCAACCCUUAUCUUUAAUUGCCAGCAUUCAGUUUGGGCACUUUAAAGAGACUGCCGGUGUUAAACCGGAGGAAGGUGGGGAUGACGUCAAGUCAGCAUGGCCUUUAUGUCCUGGGCUACACACACGCUACAAUGGCCAACACAAUAGGUUGCUAAGCCGCGAGGUGGAGCCAAUCCUCAAAGUUGGUCUCAGUUCAGAUUGCAGGCUGCAACCCGCCUGCAUGAAGAUGGAGUUGCUAGUAACCGCAGGUCAGCUAUACUGCGGUGAAUACCGGUUCCCGGGCUU
This 363-nucleotide ribosomal RNA is filed under the name uncultured Sedimentibacter sp. RNAcentral describes it as "bacterial SSU rRNA". It matches the Rfam family "Bacterial small subunit ribosomal RNA", at positions 1021 to 1381 of the family's 1533-position model. Lineage: Bacteria; Bacillati; Bacillota; Tissierellia. The record is from RNAcentral.